RNAcentral lists this ribosomal RNA (495 nucleotides) under uncultured bacterium. RNAcentral describes it as "partial 16S ribosomal RNA". It matches the Rfam family "Bacterial small subunit ribosomal RNA", at positions 28 to 507 of the family's 1533-position model. The record is from RNAcentral.
GACGAACGCUGGCGGCGUGCCUAAUACAUGCAAGUAGAACGCUGAGGGAGGAGCUUGCUUCGCUGGAUGAGUGGCGAACGGGUGAGUAACGCGUAGGUAACCUGCCUGGGAGCGGGGGAUAACUAUUGGAAACGAUAGCUAAUACCGCAUAAGAGUAGAUGUCGCAUGGCGUUGGCUUGAAAGUUGCGGUUGCAUCGCUACCAGAUGGACCUGCGGUGUAUUAGCUAGUUGGUGUGGUAACGGCGCACCAAGGCGACGAGACGUAGUGGAACUGCGAGGGGGGGUGGCCAGCCUGGGACUGUGACACGGCCCAGACGCCUUCGGGAGGCAGCAGGAGUGAAUCGUCGGGCAUGGACGGAAGUCUUACCGAGCAAGGCCGCGGCCGGGAAGAAGGACGUCGGGUCGUAAAGCUCGGUUGUAAGGUAAGAACGCGCGUGAGCGUGGAAAGUACACAGUGUGACGGUAUCUGAUCAGAAAGCGCCGGCUAACUACGUG